Molecule: small RNA, 957 nt
Filed under: Histoplasma capsulatum
Lineage: Eukaryota; Fungi; Ascomycota; Eurotiomycetes; Onygenales; Ajellomycetaceae
Also listed under: 1 other name
Description: hypothetical RNA
Source: RNAcentral
CCCCUCCAAAGAGAUUCAAGUUUAAGGUUUUAUCGCCGAAAUCCCGGUGGUAACUUAUUCUCUAAACUUACUGUACAAUAUUUAUUAUAAACAUUUUUUCCAUGUUCCUAGGAAAUCGAUGUAUCAAGGAAAAACCUUGUAGAUAUAUCUACUGAAUGUGUUGUAAUUCCCUUGGUUUUCUCUUGCACUGCUACUCUUGACAUUGCCUCUUUUCUACCAACAAUUUCAUGUGCCCUUCUGCCAGCUAAGACUCCUUUCCUGUAGUUAAUGUACACACCUCUUGCGUUAGUUCCUAUAUGCCAAGUCUCCGGUACGGUACGUCACUAAGGAAUAAUUGUUAUGGAUAGACUCCGAAUUUCCGCUUUGCCAAUUCAAAUCUACAACUUCAACAUCUUGUCAUUUUCUAGCUUACCCGGAUGGACAGCUGGGGUUUGAUAUUGACAUCAAACAGUAUCCAAAACUGACGACUGGGUGGCAACAACAACAACAGAUUGACACCUCAGCAAUGCAAUGCUGUUCAAGCACAGGGAUGGAAACCCUGUGAGACUUUAGGGAUCUGGAUCUAGAUUUUAUACGUGUCUUUGAAUUCAGGAUGCGAGAUUCGGCAGCUAUAUACCUAUAUACCUUGUUUAUAUAACCCGUUGUUUUGUGAGGAUUUUCUCUAAGAGACUUUUUGAAAGUUAUUGAGUUCAAGCUGCUUGCUCCUCCUCCUCUCCCAGCCGACCGAAACAGGGUCUCGAUCCCAAUUUUCAUGCUCUUAUUUAUAUGAUGGGUGGAAACGGAGAUAAUGGCCUACUCUGAUUUUUGCAGAUACAUACAUGUAUUUGAUCAGGUCGAUCCGUUUAUUCAUUACAUGUUUAAUACACAGGCAAUGCAAUCUAAAGUAGGCUCCUGACUUCAUCAACAUGUACUGUACAGCACAUGGGCAUACGUUCUUAGAAAGUUACACACCUGCGG